RNAcentral lists this ribosomal RNA (253 nucleotides) under Fusicatenibacter saccharivorans. RNAcentral describes it as "partial 16S ribosomal RNA". It matches the Rfam family "Bacterial small subunit ribosomal RNA", at positions 524 to 776 of the family's 1533-position model. The record is from RNAcentral. Lineage: Bacteria; Bacillati; Bacillota; Clostridia; Lachnospirales; Lachnospiraceae.
UACGUAGGGGGCAAGCGUUAUCCGGAUUUACUGGGUGUAAAGGGAGCGUAGACGGCAAGGUAAGUCUGAUGUGAAAACCCAGGGCUUAACCCUGGGACUGCAUUGGAAACUGUCUGGCUCGAGUGCCGGAGAGGUAAGCGGAAUUCCUAGUGUAGCGGUGAAAUGCGUAGAUAUUAGGAAGAACACCAGUGGCGAAGGCGGCUUACUGGACGGUAACUGACGUUGAGGCUCGAAAGCGUGGGGAGCAAACAGG